Molecule: ribosomal RNA, 253 nt
Filed under: uncultured bacterium
Lineage: Bacteria
Description: partial 16S ribosomal RNA
Rfam family: Bacterial small subunit ribosomal RNA
Source: RNAcentral
UACAGAGGGUGCAAGCGUUAAUCGGAAUUACUGGGCGUAAAGCGUGCGUAGACGGUUAUGUAAGUCAGGUGUGAAAGCCCCGGGCUCAACCUGGGAAUUGCAUUUGAGACUGCAUAGCUAGGGUGCGGAAGAGGGAAGCGGAAUUUCCGGUGUAGCGGUGAAAUGCGUAGAUAUCGGAAGGAACAUCAGUGGCGAAAGCGGCUUCCUGGUCCAGCACCGACGUUCAGGCACGAGAGCGUGGGGAGCAAACAGG